GAUGAAGAACGUAGCGAAAUGCGAUAAGUAAUGUGAAUUGCAGAAUUCAGUGAAUCAUCGAAUCUUUGAACGCACAUUGCGCCCGCCAGUAUUCUGGCGGGCAUGCCUGUUCGAGCGUCAUUUCAACCAUCAAGCCCCCGGCUUGUGUUGGAGCCCUGCGGCUGCCGCAGCCUCCCAAAACCAGUGGCGGGCUCGCUAUCACACCGAGUGCAGUAGUUUACUCUUCGCUCAGGGCGUGUGGCGGGUGCUAGCCGUAAAAGCCCCAACUUCUCAAGGUUGACCUCGGAUCAGGUAGGAAUACCCGCUGAACUUAAGCAUAUCAAUAAGCGGAGGA
RNAcentral lists this unclassified non-coding RNA (334 nucleotides) under soil metagenome. RNAcentral's name for it is "partial contains 5.8S ribosomal RNA, internal transcribed spacer 2, and large subunit ribosomal RNA". The stretch from base 1 to 120 matches the Rfam family "5.8S ribosomal RNA", at positions 35 to 154 of the family's 154-position model. The record is from RNAcentral.